RNAcentral lists this ribosomal RNA (570 nucleotides) under uncultured bacterium. RNAcentral describes it as "bacterial SSU rRNA". It matches the Rfam family "Bacterial small subunit ribosomal RNA", at positions 162 to 747 of the family's 1533-position model. The record is from RNAcentral.
AGUAAUGCCUUAUAAGAUACGUUUGUCGCAUGGCAUUUGUAUUAAACGCUCCGGCGCCAUAGGAUGGACCCGCGUCCCAUUAGCUAGUUGGUGAGAUAACAGCUCACCAAGGCCACGAUGGGUAACCGGUCUGAGAGGGCGAACGGUCACACUGGAACUGAGACACGGUCCAGACUCCUACGGGAGGCAGCAGUGGGGAAUAUUGCGCAAUGGGGGCAACCCUGACGCAGCAAUACCGCGUGAGUGAAGAAGGUUUUCGGAUCGUAAAGCUCUGUUAUUGGGGAAGAAAAAAAGACGGUACCCAAGAAGAAAGUUCCGGCUAACUACGUGCCAGCAGCCGCGGUAAUACGUAGGGAACAAGCGUUGUCCGGAUUUACUGGGCGUAAAGGGCACGCAGGCGGUUUUUUAAGUCAGAUGUGAAAGGCCACAGCUCAACUGUGGACAUGCAUUUGAAACUGAAAGACUUGAGUAUUGGAGAGGCAAGUGGAAUUCCUAGUGUAGCGGUGAAAUGCGUAGAUAUUAGGAGGAACACCGGUGGCGAAGGCGGCUUGCUGGACAAAUACUGACGCU